Molecule: long non-coding RNA, 1166 nt
Filed under: Gallus gallus (chicken)
Lineage: Eukaryota; Metazoa; Chordata; Aves; Galliformes; Phasianidae
Description: lncRNA (ENSGALG00010002230.1)
Source: RNAcentral
CAGAACAGCACGGUGAUAUCAGUGCAGACAUGGAAUGCGGGGAACAAGACAGCAUCAUUUUUUCUCUUCUCUGUGAGGAGAAUCUGGGACCAAAUGUUUGCUGAGGCUGUGCCAAAAAUGAAGGGAAGGGAAAACAAGAAUGUAUUCCUGGAGUGCAAGACCCGGUCCUGCAGAUAUACCCUUAUACCCUUCGUUAAAGGAAGAGACUUGGUCAGUAAUUGCUAUGAUAGGAGGAAAUUGAAUCACACUGAUAAAUGUUACCAGGAUCUAUUCCAUUUAAUUCCAUACCACUGCAAACAGAUGAUGGAUUUCCUAAUAAUGUCCUUCACUACUACUUCAGAGAAAUAACUAAUUUAAUCUGCCACUAGAUGUCAUUCCUUUUUCAUGCAAACAUGAAAAAUGUAAAUUUCCACCCCAAAAAAACCCAGUUAAAAAUGUAAGAUUUAAAAUGAAAGAAUCCAUUUGAUGUAUACAUACAUACAAAAAAACCUUUUUAUUCAUUAUUUUCCGUGUAUGAGCAGAGUGUUGUAAGCUUACUGAUGACUUUCAACAGAUCCAUCUGUAUUUAAAAGAUGUGAAAUGUUUUCAUAUACCCAAGCAGAAUGUGGUUUCAUUGUUUGGAUAACUAGUGAUUUGUGGUAUUGGUCCAUUCCAAUAGUAUUGGAGGUUCAACUAAAUCUCUUCUUGUAUUCAUUCAGGCCCAAAGAACUACUUUUCCUUGGUGGAUGUCAUCUGUCUGCUCAGAACUGGUUUCCUUGCUGCCUUUUCUCACAGCCCUUCUGAUUGUUUUGGGUUUUACUUCAUGGCUACCUAAACUUUACAAAGCAACAGCCAAUGAAAUUCUUCAAUUUUGGUGGGCCAAGUGAAGCCAUUUCUUUCUGAUUUUUUUCCCCCCAAGAAGAUUUCUGAAAGAUCUGAAUAGUCUAUAGAAAAGUCUUUGUUACAUAGUCUUUGCUAUCAAAGUCUUUGAUACCCAUAAAUUCACAUUGCAAAAUAUAUAUAUAUAUAUAUUUUGGGGAAAAAAAGAUUUUCACAACAUUAGUUUUAUUUCUUUACUUAGCUAUUAUUAAAUAAUACUAAAGCACAAUACAAUAAUAAUAGAAAAAGGAAAGAUUUCUUAUCUGUGUUGAUGACUGGAUAGCCUUUAGCAAAUGUUUCACUGCUCU